Leptolyngbya sp. O-77 is the source of this 40-nucleotide non-coding RNA. The record is from Rfam. NCBI's taxonomy places the organism in Bacteria, Bacillati, Cyanobacteriota, Cyanophyceae, Leptolyngbyales, Leptolyngbyaceae.
GUUUCCGUCCCCUUGCGGGGAAAUGGGAUGAAAGAUCAAC